This is a non-coding RNA of Eucalyptus grandis, 95 nucleotides long. The record is from Rfam. NCBI's taxonomy places the organism in Eukaryota, Viridiplantae, Streptophyta, Magnoliopsida, Myrtales, Myrtaceae.
UGAUAUCCAGAUUGAUGAUUGAAUUAGAUGUGUGAACGGCAAUUUCUUCAUGAUCUCAAUAUCAUGAGGCUUACUAAUAUUCUGACUUGUUACCA